GGAUGCGAGGGUGAUCUGGCUGCAACAUCUGUCACCCCAUUGACCCUGCUGAUCUGGCUGGCUAGGCGGGUGUCCCCUUUCUCCCUCAGCACUUCAUGUGCGUCCCUCCCGAAGCUGUGCACUGGGUCUAAGUGGAUGACCACCCUUAAUAGAGGAGGACCGUUUCCUCCAUCAAAGAUGGAGGAGGAGGAGGAUGA
Molecule: unclassified non-coding RNA, 197 nt
Organism: Fukomys damarensis (Damara mole-rat)
Lineage: Eukaryota; Metazoa; Chordata; Mammalia; Rodentia; Bathyergidae
Gene: 7SK
Rfam family: 7SK RNA
About the family: 7SK was discovered as an abundant small nuclear RNA in the mid-70s but a possible function has only recently been suggested. Two independent studies have found that 7SK RNA binds the CDK9/cyclin T complex (known as elongation factor P-TEFb).
Source: Ensembl